GACGAACGCUGGCGGCGUGCUUAACACAUGCAAGUCGAACGGAAAGGCCCUGCUUUUGUGGGGUGCUCGAGUGGCGAACGGGUGAGUAACACGUGAGUAACCUGCCCUUCACUUUGGGAUAACUUCAGGAAACUGGGGCUAAUACCGGAUAGGAGCUCCUGCUGCAUGGUGGGGGUUGGAAAGUUUCGGCGGUUGGGGAUGGACUCGCGGCUUAUCAGCUUGUUGGUGGGGUAGUGGCUUACCAAGGCUUUGACGGGUAGCCGGCCUGAGAGCGUGACCGGCGACAUUGGGACUGAGAUACGGCCCAGACUCCUACGGGAGGCAGCAGUGGGGAAUAUUGCACAACGGGCGGAAGCCUGAGGCAGAAACGCCGCGUGCGGAAUGACGGCCUUCGGGUUGUAAACCGCUUUAGCCUGUGACGAAGCGUGAGUGACGGUAAUGGGUAAAGAAGCACCGGCUAACUACGUG
Molecule: ribosomal RNA, 468 nt
Filed under: uncultured bacterium
Lineage: Bacteria
Description: partial 16S ribosomal RNA
Rfam family: Bacterial small subunit ribosomal RNA
Source: RNAcentral